This 1078-nucleotide long non-coding RNA is filed under the name Phoenix dactylifera (date palm). Its description in RNAcentral is "long non-coding RNA (PDAC_LNC008054)". Lineage: Eukaryota; Viridiplantae; Streptophyta; Magnoliopsida; Arecales; Arecaceae. The record is from RNAcentral.
UGCAAUAACCAUAUGUUUAGGUUCUUGAAUGUUGCUUUGCAUAUUCGACCUAUCCGGACGUCGGGUAUCAUUGCUAAAUGGUCACCUCGAUUAGUGCAUGGAGUAGUCCAUGUACUACCGGCUUAGUGUUCGAACCUAUCGGAGUCACGCACAUUAGUCAAACUAAGUAGGAAGGUCUUGACCCAAUUUAAUUAAGAAUUAAAUUAUGGGUCAUUUGGAAUUUAGUUCUGUCUAUGUUCCGCUAGCACCGAACAUGAGGUACAUGCUAAAUUUCAUGGAUGAACAACUAAUUAAGUCUGUAUUUCGGGUCAAUCAAGUUUCAAUUAAUGUAAUGGAACUUGAUCAGGACUCAAUUGUUGAGAUUGGAUUUGAUUGGGUCUAAAUUAGUGUAAUUGGGCUCGAUCAUGAUUUAAGUGAGAUUUAAUUUCGUAUUUGUUCUGAUCUAAGUCGGAUUUGGAUCGAGCCGAAACUAGACCCAAUUGAAUUCCCCAUGAGUCGGACUCAUGUGGAAUUUUUUCCGAGUCAAAAAUCAUUUAAAUCGGCUGUCAAUUUGGAUUAGAACCAAAUAGGCUUGCUUUAUUACAAAAUGGGCUAACCCAUUUCCUAUUUGGCUAAACCCAUUUCAAUGGUUAACGGCUGACUUGAUUUUUAAAUCCCAUGGACCCAUGGACCACUUUCCCUCAUGGACCCUUAACACUUUUCUUUGUGAGCCGCGAUGGAGAAAUGCUGGGAGGAGAAAACAGAGCCUUCUUCCUCCCAGCUUCGUCUCCACACCGCGCCACCGUCUAGCCUCCGUUCGGCUUGCCGUCUAGACCAAAAUGUUCGGUUUUGAACUGGCUACAUUCCGAUUCAUUUAGAUUUUUGAAAUCUGGCACGUUUUCAUGGAUUCACUAGUUUUUUCCCACCGUUUGUUUUGAAACAAGCGUUAUGAAAUUCAUCCAUAAAUGAAUUCUUUAAUGCUCGGUCAAUAACGCCUCUUAACUCCUCUUAGCGUUGGCCUAUUUGAGGCCACCGUAUCAUCUUGAAGAUGAGAGGAUGAGAAUUUUCUUGAGAAGAAAAUUGUCAGACAGAAGGAGAG